RNAcentral lists this ribosomal RNA (429 nucleotides) under Pseudomonadota bacterium. Its description in RNAcentral is "Proteobacteria bacterium partial 16S ribosomal RNA". It matches the Rfam family "Bacterial small subunit ribosomal RNA", at positions 355 to 776 of the family's 1533-position model. The record is from RNAcentral. Lineage: Bacteria; Pseudomonadati; Pseudomonadota.
UGGGGAAUAUUGGACAAUGGGCGAAAGCCUGAUCCAGCCAUGCCGCGUGUGUGAAGAAGGUCUUCGGAUUGUAAAGCACUUUAAGUUGGGAGGAAGGGCAGUAAGCGAAUACCUUGCUGUUUUGACGUUACCGACAGAAUAAGCACCGGCUAACUCUGUGCCAGCAGCCGCGGUAAUACAGAGGGUGCAAGCGUUAAUCGGAAUUACUGGGCGUAAAGCGCGCGUAGGUGGUUCGUUAAGUUGAAUGUGAAAGCCCCGGGCUCAACCUGGGAACUGCAUCCAAAACUGGCGAGCUAGAGUAGGGCAGAGGGUGGUGGAAUUUCCUGUGUAACGGUGGAAUGCGUAGAUAUAGGAAGGAACACCAGUGGCGAAGGCGACCACCUGGGCUCAUACUGACACUGAGGUGCGAAAGCGUGGGGAGCAAACAGG